Molecule: ribosomal RNA, 849 nt
Filed under: uncultured bacterium
Lineage: Bacteria
Description: bacterial SSU rRNA
Rfam family: Bacterial small subunit ribosomal RNA
Source: RNAcentral
AGUCGAGCGAGUCUGCCUUGAAGAUCGGAGUGCUUGCACUCUGUGAAACAAGAUACAGGCUAGCGGCGGACGGGUGAGUAACACGUGGGUAACCUGCCCAAGAGAUCGGGAUAACACCUGGAAACAGAUGCUAAUACCGGAUAACAACAGAUGAUGCCUAUCAACUGUUUAAAAGAUGGUUCUGCUAUCACUCUUGGAUGGACCUGCGGUGCAUUAGCUAGUUGGUAGGGUAACGGCCUACCAAGGCGAUGAUGCAUAGCCGAGUUGAGAGACUGAUCGGCCACAUUGGGACUGAGACACGGCCCAAACUCCUACGGGAGGCAGCAGUAGGGAAUCUUCCACAAUGGACGCAAGUCUGAUGGAGCAACGCCGCGUGAGUGAAGAAGGGUUUCGGCUCGUAAAGCUCUGUUGUUGGUGAAGAAGGACAGUGGUAGUAACUGACCUUUGUUUGACGGUAAUCAAUUAGAAAGUCACGGCUAACUACGUGCCAGCAGCCGCGGUAAUACGUAGGUGGCAAGCGUUGUCCGGAUUUAUUGGGCGUAAAGCGAGUGCAGGCGGCUCGAUAAGUCUGAUGUGAAAGCCUUCGGCUCAACCGGAGAAUUGCAUCAGAAACUGUCGAGCUUGAGUACAGAAGAGGAGAGUGGAACUCCAUGUGUAGCGGUGAAAUGCGUAGAUAUAUGGAAGAACACCGGUGGCGAAGGCGGCUCUCUGGUCUGUUACUGACGCUGAGGCUCGAAAGCAUGGGUAGCGAACAGGAUUAGAUACCCUGGUAGUCCAUGCCGUANACGAUGAGUGCUAAGUGUUGGGAGGUUUCCGCCUCUCAGUGCUGCAGCUAACGCAUUAAGCACU